AAUUUUCAGGAAACACCCACCUCUCAUCUCUCUCUCACAACUCUCCUUCUCUCCCUCUCAUAUCUCUCUUCACUCUCUCUUUCACUUCGAGCACACAUACGCACAACCAACAACCACAGGGACUGCAUUCUCAUGACAUUUGGGAGCCUUGCGAACCAGAAACCGUGGAGAAAACCCCUCAUUUACCUCUCCCUCGCACUGGACAGUAGCAGCCACUGUGCUUGUGUCUCUCUGGCGAGUUCUCAGUCUCCGGCGAACACCACCGUCGACCACCACCGUGGUUCGACUUCCUUGAGGCCAGGAACAAACCCCAAACAAGUUUAGGGGCGGCAAAGCAUCGGAGGAGACGGAUCGACAACCACCCAUUUCUAGGGUUCUGACGGUUCGUGAUGGUUUUCAGACCACUUCUCAGCCGAAUUGGACUUCGGCCAGGUAUAAAAGUUGUUCCUUUCAUUGAAAUUAAGCACAAAUCACAUAUUUUUCUAAUCUAUCGUUGUUCUCCGGAGGGCAUUGAUUAUGACAGUAUCGUUGUUCAAAAUCUGAUACCUAUUGAAUUGACAAUGGUUUCUGGCUACGCGGUUGUUGUGUUGGCCGGGAUUAUGAUCUCCACAUGAUGGCAUUGAAUGAUGUGGGUUGUGUUUAGCAACUAGAUGGCCUAUUUGAUCCCACUGAUGCUCAUGAUUUUUCUGAUGGAGAAAGUUUAUGUAAAAACUUGUCUCAAUUGAAUUGUUAUGUGGUUGACAAGUCAAAAUUGGAUGGGAAUUGUCAUAUCAUUGCAUCAAGGGACAUAAGAGAUUUGGAGUACGUCUUUGUCGGAUUGCCCACGUUAAGAUUUCUUGAUUCACUUAUUUUGGAUGAGGAAUCGAUAAACUUUGAUAGGUGACUUCUGCACUUUCGUUUGUUUUCCUUUCAUUUGAUUAUGUUUAUGCCUAGUUACUAGGUUACAUUAUAGUAUUUGAUGAAUAAACUGUGAUUUUGCCUAGUUACUGAUAUCAGAUUCUUCACUCAGCAUUGGCUCCUUACUGAUUAUAAUUUUGUAUCUAAUUUUAAUUUUCGUUUGUCAUUACGAGUAUAAUUGGAAUUUUCAAUUGUGCACCUAUAAAUUUUCUCAAAUAUGCAGAUCGGAUGACUACUACUAGCCUUAAGGAGAUCACUACUCUAGGUCCUUUCACCUCAAGAUCUUUCUUAUACUCUGACGAUUAAGGUGAUGUUGCAUUUGGAAAAUAUAUUCAUGUGAUUUUGCUUUACGUUAUAAAUCGACUAUUUUUCCAUUCGUGUCUGGAUUGCUAACUCUACAACAACAACAACAACAAAGCAUUUUCCCACUAAGUGGGGUCGGCUAUAUGAAUCCUAGAACGCCAUUGCGCUCGGUUUUGUGUCAUGAAUGGAAAAAGAGUUAAUUUAUAACGUAACGCAAAAUCACAUGAAUAUAUUUCCCGAAUGCAGCAACACCUCAAUCGUUAGAGUAUAAGAAAGAUCGUGAGGUGAAGGGAUUUAGAGUAGUGAUCUCCUCAAGCCUGGUACUAGUCCUGAAAAUUUACAGGUGCACAAGUUAAAAUUCCAAUUAUACUCGUAAUGACAAACGAAAAUUAAAAUUAUAUACAAAAUUAUAAUCAGUAAGAAGCCAAUGUUGAGUGAAGGAUCUGAUAUCAGUAACACAGUUUAUCGAUCAAAUACUAUAAUGUAACCUUGUAACUAGACAUAAACUUAAUCAAAUGAUUAUUCAAAACAAGAAGAAGAGACAAAUGAAAGGAAAACAAAACGAGAGUGCAGAAGCCACCUAUCAAAGAUUAUUGAUUCCUUAUCCAAAAUAAGUGAAUCAAGAAAGCUCAACGUGGGCAAUCCGACAAAGAUGUACUCCAAAUCUCUUAUGUCCUCUGAUGCAAUGCCGUGACCAUUCCCAUCCAAUUUGACUUGUCAACCACACAACGCUUCAAUUGAGACAAGUCUUUACGAAAAAUUUCAACAUAAAAAAAAUCAUGAGCGUCAUAAAUGGGAUCAAAUAGGCCAUCUAGCUACUGAAAAUAACCCACUUCAUUCAACGCUAUCAUGUGGAGAACAUAACCCUCAGCCAAUACAGGAACCACAUAGCCAUAAACCAUUGUCAAUUGAAUAGGUAUGCUAUAUUCAAAAUAUAAGAUAAAACAGAGUUAACAAGGAACAACAUUAAUGCAAAAUAGUUAUGUUCAAAUACAAUAAUUUUACACAAAUAAUACAAUAAGUUGUUUACUUACAAAUUUUGAACAACGAUACAGCCAUAAUCAGUGCUCUCCAAAGAACGAUGAUAGAUUAGAAAAAUAUGUGAUUUGUGCUUAAUUUCAUAUAACGCACUCUUGUAAGUAGAAAUAAAGUCACAAGGUGGCUGCCCCCAUAAGGAUAUGAGAUGGCCUUACAUUGCCAACUCGUGAUCAUCCCGAGACAAAGCUUCCUCAGUUAAGGGAGUAGCUCCAGCAAUUAGAUCAGCAGCUACAUUGUCAUUUCCAGUUUUAUAAUGUAUUUCACAAUCGUAACCCAAAAGUUUGGUCACCCAUUUUUGCUGAAAUGGAGUGUGAGCCCUAUUAUGAGAAGAUACUUGAGGUUGUGAUGAUCUGCUCGAAUCAUAAAGUGCCGGCCCUGUAAAUAGUUGUGCCACUUUUUAACUGCAUGUACAAUUGCAACAAGCUAUCGCUCGUAUAUAGAUAAGGAUUGAUUUUGAGGACCUAAUGUUUGGUUAGAGAAGGCAAUUGGUCAGCCUUUUUGCUGCAAAACUACACUGAUUCCUUGCCCUGAGGCAUCACAUUCAAUCUCAAAAGGAAUUGAGAAACCAA
Non-coding RNA from Malus domestica (apple), 2807 nucleotides. The record is from RefSeq and is a predicted model, not a curated record. Lineage: Eukaryota; Viridiplantae; Streptophyta; Magnoliopsida; Rosales; Rosaceae.